UUGUGCAUUACCUGUAAAUUUACUUUUAAUAAUAAAUAUAUAAAUAAAUAUAUUUUUAAUUCUUACUAUGAUUGUAACAUUAAUAACAAUAAUGAUAAAUGAAAAUAAAAAAAGAAAGAACAACAAUGUAUUAUAAGAUAAAUGCUUUAGUAUAGAUCAAACUUUGAUUACAAUACCUCAUAUGGCAUAUAUUUGUCCAC
Molecule: long non-coding RNA, 200 nt
Filed under: Elaeis guineensis (African oil palm)
Lineage: Eukaryota; Viridiplantae; Streptophyta; Magnoliopsida; Arecales; Arecaceae
Description: long non-coding RNA (EGUI_LNC005239)
Source: RNAcentral